CCUACGGGAGGCAGCAGUGAGGAAUAUUGGUCAAUGGGCGCAGGCCUGAACCAGCCAAGUCGCGUGAGGGAAGACUGCCCUAUGGGUUGUAAACCUCUUUUAUAAGGGAAGAAUAAUGACUACGUGUAGUCAGAUGCCCGUAACUUAUGAAUAAGGAUCGGCUAACUACGUGCCAGCAGCCGCGGUCAUACGUAGGAUCCGAGCAUUAUCCGGAGUGACUGGGUGUAAAGAGUUGCGUAGGUGGCAUAAUAAGUAGCUAGUGAAAUCUGGUGGCUCAACCAUUCAGACUAUUAGCUAAACUGUUAAGCUCGAGACCGUUAGGGGUAACUGGAAUUUCUAGUGUAGGAGUGAAAUCCGUAGAUAUUAGAAAGAACACCAAUAGCGUAGGCAGGUUACUGGGACGGUUCUGACACUAAGGCACGAAAGCGUAGGGAGCAAACGGGAUUAGAUACCCUGGUAGUC
This 462-nucleotide ribosomal RNA is filed under the name uncultured bacterium. RNAcentral's name for it is "partial 16S ribosomal RNA". It matches the Rfam family "Bacterial small subunit ribosomal RNA", at positions 338 to 795 of the family's 1533-position model. The record is from RNAcentral.